GGAGGUGUGGCCGAGCGGUUGAAGGCACUAGUCUUGAAAACUAGCGAGGAUGAAAGUCCUCCGUGAGUUCGAAUCUCACCGCCUCCGCCA
This 90-nucleotide transfer RNA is filed under the name Sideroxydans lithotrophicus ES-1. RNAcentral's name for it is "tRNA-Ser (TGA) (tRNA-Ser-TGA-1-1)". It matches the Rfam family "tRNA". Rfam says of the family: Transfer RNA (tRNA) molecules are approximately 80 nucleotides in length. Lineage: Bacteria; Pseudomonadati; Pseudomonadota; Betaproteobacteria; Nitrosomonadales; Gallionellaceae. RNAcentral also lists the same sequence under 3 other names. The record is from RNAcentral.